RNAcentral lists this ribosomal RNA (253 nucleotides) under uncultured bacterium. RNAcentral's name for it is "partial 16S ribosomal RNA". It matches the Rfam family "Bacterial small subunit ribosomal RNA", at positions 524 to 776 of the family's 1533-position model. The record is from RNAcentral.
UACGGGGGGGGCAAGCGUUGUUCGGAAUUACUGGGCGUAAAGGGCUCGUAGGCGGCCAACUAAGUCGGAUGUGAAAUCCCCAGGCUUAACCUGGGAACUGCGUCUGAUACUGGAUGGCUUGAAUUCGGGAGAGGGAUGCAGAAUUCCAGGUGUAGCGGUGAAAUGCGUAGAUAUCUGGAGGAAUACCGGUGGCGAAGGCGGCAUCCUGGACCGACAUUGACGCUGAGGCGCGAAAGCGUGGGGAGCAAACAGG